UUCCAAAAUGUCGAGUUCAGUCCAGGACAGCAUUCUCUGUUCUGUUAAUUAAACUAAGAGACAUUGAAAUAGGCUAGAAAAGACAAUUAGAUAGAAGGUAUUAUUCUAAUCCUUAGCCUCUCAGUCUACAAAA
Molecule: small nucleolar RNA, 133 nt
Filed under: Carlito syrichta (Philippine tarsier)
Lineage: Eukaryota; Metazoa; Chordata; Mammalia; Primates; Tarsiidae
Source: RNAcentral